This 511-nucleotide ribosomal RNA is filed under the name uncultured bacterium. Its description in RNAcentral is "bacterial SSU rRNA". It matches the Rfam family "Bacterial small subunit ribosomal RNA", at positions 28 to 497 of the family's 1533-position model. The record is from RNAcentral.
GACGAACGCUGGCGGCGUGCCUAAUACAUGCAAGUCGAACGCACUCUCGUUUAGAUUGAAGGAGCUUGCUCCUGAUUGAUAAACAUUUGAGUGAGUGGCGGACGGGUGAGUAACACGUGGGUAACCUGCCCUAAAGUGGGGGAUAACAUUUGGAAACAGAUGCUAAUACCGCAUAAAACCUAACACCGCAUGGUGUAGGGUUGAAAGAUGGUUUCGGCUAUCACUUUAGGAUGGACCCGCGGUGCAUUAGUUAGUUGGUGAGGUAAAGGCUCACCAAGACCGUGAUGCAUAGCCGACCUGAGAGGGUAAUCGGCCACACUGGGACUGAGACACGGCCCAGACUCCUACGGGAGGCAGCAGUAGGGAAUCUUCCACAAUGGACGAAAGUCUGAUGGAGCAACGCCGCGUGAGUGAAGAAGGUUUUCGGAUCGUAAAACUCUAGUUGUUGGAGAAGAAUGUAUCUGAUAGUAACUGAUCAGGUAGUGACGGUAUCCAACCAGAAAGCCAACGG